CUGCCUUCUCUGCUGACAGCCUCUACAUUGAAAGCUUUCGUUCCUAUCACUUCUUUUACAGUGCAAAUCUCAGUUAAUUUCUAUUCUCAUUCUCCUUUGUCUUCUCUUUCAAUCUCACUCCACUCUUUUCCUUGGGUUACUAAGGACAAACAUAUCCCUUUAUUUUUGUACUUGUAGCAGUUUUUGUACUGCUCUUAAUAACCCUUAGUAUAGGCUAAGUUCUCACUUUACCUGUACACAUGAUUGCUGCUGUGAUUUGUUUGUAUGUAUUGCUCCAAAAUUCAUAUGAUGGAACCUAACCCCCUAGGAGGUGGUAUUAGGAGGUGGGGUGCUUCGCAGGUCAUUAGGCUAUGAGAAUUCUGCCUUCAUGGAUAAGAUAAAUGCCCUUUUAAAAAAUGCAUCAUAGAGCUGCCUCCCUGCUCCCAUGCCUUUUGCCAUAUGAGGACACCUAGACUGCAUUAUCUCUGAAAAAUGAGCCUUUUUCUUUUCUAUUCUCCUUCUACCAUGUGAGGACACGGCUUUACCUCCUUCUCCAGAGGAUGCAACAAUAAGGCACCAUCUUGGAAGCAGAAAGCAGCCCUCACCAGACACCAAAUCUGCCAGCACCUUGAUCUUGGAUUUCCCAGACUCCAGAACUAGACCAGUAAAAUAAAUAUUUUGGUGUCACGUGAUGUUUCCCUGAAAGUUAAUGUCACAGCUAGACCUCUUAAUUAUGACUCAGUGCACUUCCUAUGAUAUUACAGUCUCUAAAGCUAACUUGAUCUCACUUCUGAUUAAAAAAAACCGAUUACUUUAAA
RNAcentral lists this long non-coding RNA (797 nucleotides) under Homo sapiens (human). RNAcentral describes it as "lncAB331.1". The record is from RNAcentral. Lineage: Eukaryota; Metazoa; Chordata; Mammalia; Primates; Hominidae.